This 497-nucleotide ribosomal RNA is filed under the name uncultured bacterium. Its description in RNAcentral is "partial 16S ribosomal RNA". It matches the Rfam family "Bacterial small subunit ribosomal RNA", at positions 28 to 507 of the family's 1533-position model. The record is from RNAcentral.
GAUGAACGCUGGCGGCGUGCCUAAUACAUGCAAGUCGAGCGAACAGACGAGGAGCUUGCUCCUCUGACGUUAGCGGCGGACGGGUGAGUAACACGUGGAUAACCUACCUAUAAGACUGGGAUAACUUCGGGAAACCGGAGCUAAUACCGGAUAAUAUAUUGAACCGCAUGGUUCAAUAGUGAAAGACGGUUUUGCUGUCACUUAUAGAUUGAUCCGCGCCGCAUUAGCUAGUUGGUAAGGUAACGGCUUACCAAGGCAACGAUGCGUAGCCGACCUGAGAGGGUGAUCGGCCACACUGGAACUGAGACACGGUCCAGACUCCUACGGGAGGCAGCAGUAGGUAAUCUUCCGCAAUGGGCGAAAGCUUGACGGAGCAACGCCGCGUGAGUGAUGAAGGUCUUCGGAUCGUAAAACUCUGUUAUUAGGGAAGAACAAAUGUGUAAGUAACUAUGCACGUCUUGACGGUACCUAAUCAGAAAGCCACGGCUAACUACGUG